AAGCCUCAUUUAAGGGCUGGCUGGGAAAGAGCCCUACUUGGGGAUUCCUUCUUUUGGAGUGUUUAUUGAGCCCUGAUUUUUAGAGAAGGAUAACAGAGGAGAAACAGAAAACAGAAAAGUUUGUCAAAAGACAGUAGAAAUCCCAUUUCAGUUGGCACCCUGUUUCCAAGCAGCUUCUGAGGAAAACAGCUGCCAGACUUUUCAGUAGUCCAGCUUCUGGAUUCACUUUCAAGUGAGUUCCCAAGUGAAUGUGGCUUUUCAUAGAUGCUUAGAGGGAAGAUGCCAUGAGACCGCAUAGACACAGAACAGUAAUUCUUUAAAAAGGAAAAAAAAAAAGACUGGAAGGAGCCAUGUCCCUGUUUCACAGCAGUAUCAGAAGUAUCUCUAUCACACCUAAGGAAAUUUUUUCCAAGUGGUUCUUGGACAAGUCUUCCUUUUUCCAUACGGAGUCCAUUACGUUUGCUUCUAUUGCUGGUGGAGUUUUUUCUUCUGUCUCCAAAAUAUAUGUUAUUUAUUCUGGUAUUUUCAGGAAAUGGAAGCCGGGUUGAACACUCUAAUACUACUUCUUUGUGGAAAGCCAAAAUCAAAGAAAGCACUUUCUAUGUCUGACUGUGGGAUCUGAAAAUAAUGUCUCCUAAUGAUGUUUUUCAUUCCUGGAGAAAGGAAUUUCAUCAUCUCAGGCAGGCUGCUAGGAAAGACCAAGCUCCAUUCUACUGAAGAAAACACCAAGGACAGAGGAUGUUCAGUUGCUAAGAAACUGAGAGCAGCUUUGAGAGGUAAGGUGAUCUUUCCAGCAUUUUGGAUCCAGUUCUUCAGGAGUCUUAAAUACAAGAAGACUUUAAAUGUUCAGUUUUGUGCCAAUGGGGAUAACUGAAAAUGAGAAUGAUAUCUGUACUACAAUCAGUUUUUUGGUCAUCGCUGGUGAAAGUGAUGGUAAUGAUGAAGUGAAGGUAAUGAUGGUGACUCUGAUGAAAAAAAGCAUUUUGUAGCUGAGAAUUUGCUCUAUGAAAUAAUGUUUUUGUGCUCUUUGUAUCUGUUGCAGUUCCUGUGGAAAUAAACAGGAGAUAUUACUUUCGGAGCGACCAAUGUGGUAUAGUUCUUAUUUAAAAUAACUGCUCUUCAAUUGUUUUUAGCUAGAAGCAUGCAGUGAUGAUCAAUGUGUUACUUUGCCAAUCAUUUAAUAAACAUUCUCAACGUAAUCUUAAAUGAAUAAAUGACUACUGAAAUGGCUAGAGCAAAUGUCAUCAAUCAAUCUCAUAUACCCAAUAUGUAAGCUGUUUCAUUGGAGUAAAACAUAUGGUUGUAGU
Lagopus muta (rock ptarmigan) is the source of this 1307-nucleotide long non-coding RNA. RefSeq lists it as uncharacterized. The record is from RefSeq and is a predicted model, not a curated record. NCBI's taxonomy places the organism in Eukaryota, Metazoa, Chordata, Aves, Galliformes, Phasianidae. The transcript has 5 exons.